Molecule: long non-coding RNA, 361 nt
Filed under: Nicotiana tabacum (common tobacco)
Lineage: Eukaryota; Viridiplantae; Streptophyta; Magnoliopsida; Solanales; Solanaceae
Description: long non-coding RNA (NTAB_LNC011526)
Source: RNAcentral
CAGUAAAAUGCGGGAAUACUUAAUGUUCUAGGUCGCCCACCAGUAAAAUGCGGGAAUACAUUCUGUUCUAGGUCGCCCACCAGUAAAAUGUGGGAAUACUUUCUGUUCUAGGUCUCCCACCAGUAAAAUGCGGGAAUACUUUCUGUUCUAGGUCGCCCACCAGUAAAAUGCGGGAAUACUUUCUGUUCUAGGUCGCCCACCAGUAAAAUGCGAGAAUACUUUCUAUUCUAGGUCGCCCACCAGUAAAAUGCGGGAAUACUUUCUGUUCUAGGUCGCCCACCAGUAAAAUGCGGGAAUACAUUCUGUUCUAGGUCGCCCACCAGUAAAAUGCGGGAAUACAUUCAUGUUCUAGGUUGCCCAC